RNAcentral lists this microRNA (24 nucleotides) under Zea mays. RNAcentral's name for it is "microRNA miR-3241". Lineage: Eukaryota; Viridiplantae; Streptophyta; Magnoliopsida; Poales; Poaceae. The record is from RNAcentral.
AGGUGACAAGCUUGGUACAUGAUU